RNAcentral lists this ribosomal RNA (497 nucleotides) under uncultured bacterium. Its description in RNAcentral is "partial 16S ribosomal RNA". It matches the Rfam family "Bacterial small subunit ribosomal RNA", at positions 28 to 507 of the family's 1533-position model. The record is from RNAcentral.
GAUGAACGCUGGCGGCGUGCCUAAUACAUGCAAGUCGAGCGAACGGACGAGAAGCUUGCUUCUCUGAUGUUAGCGGCGGACGGGUGAGUAACACGUGGAUAACCUACCUAUAAGACUGGGAUAACUUCGGGAAACCGGAGCUAAUACCGGAUAAUAUUUUGUACCGCAUGGUUCAAAAGUGAAAGACGGUCUUGCUGUCACUUAUAGAUGGAUCCGCGCUUCAUUAUCUAGUUGGUAAGGUAACGGCUUACCAAGGCAACGAUGCAUAGCCGACCUGAGAGGGUGAUAGGAAACACUGGAACUGAGACACGGUACAGACUCCUACGGGAGGAAGCAGUAGGGAAUAUGCCGCAAUGGGCGAAAGAAUGACGGAGAAACGCCGCGUGAGUGAUGAAGGACUACGGAUCGUAAAAAUCUGUUAUGAGGGAAGAACAUAUGUGUAAGAAACUGUGCACAUCGUGACGGUACCUAAUCAGAAAGCAACGGCUAACUACGUG